This 445-nucleotide ribosomal RNA is filed under the name uncultured bacterium. Its description in RNAcentral is "partial 16S ribosomal RNA". It matches the Rfam family "Bacterial small subunit ribosomal RNA", at positions 354 to 796 of the family's 1533-position model. The record is from RNAcentral.
GUGAGGAAUAUUGGUCAAUGGACGGAAGUCUGAACCAGCCAAGUAGCGUGCAGGAUGACGGCCCUAUGGGUUGUAAACUGCUUUUAUGCGGGGGUAAAGUGAGUGACGUGUCAUUCAUUGCAAGUACCGCAAGAAUAAGGACCGGCUAAUUCCGUGCCAGCAGCCGCGGUAAUACGGAAGGUCCUGGUGUUAUCCGGAUUUAUUGGGUUUAAAGGGAGCGUAGGCCGUCAGGCAAGCGUGUUGUGAAAUGUCGUGGCUCAACCAUGGACUUGCAGCGCGAACUGCCCGACUUGAGUGCGCAGAAAGCAGGCGGAAUUUGUGGUGUAGCGGUGAAAUGCUUAGAUAUCACGAAGAACCCCGAUUGCGAAGGCAGCCUGCUGUAGCGCUACUGACGCUGAAGCUCGAAAGUGCGGGUAUCGAACAGGAUUAGAAACCCCAGUAGUCC